RNAcentral lists this ribosomal RNA (250 nucleotides) under uncultured prokaryote. RNAcentral describes it as "partial 16S rRNA". It matches the Rfam family "Bacterial small subunit ribosomal RNA", at positions 525 to 775 of the family's 1533-position model. The record is from RNAcentral.
ACGUAGGGGGCAAGCGUUAUCCGGAAUUAUUGGGCGUAAAGAGUGCGUAGGUGGUUUUUUAAGCGUGAGGUGAAAGGCAAUAGCUUAACUAUUGUAAGCCUUGCGAACUGGAAGACUUGAGUGCAGGAGAGGAAAGUGGAAUUCCUAGUGGAGCGCUGGCAUGAGUAGAUAUGAGUAGGAGCACCGGAGGCGAAGGCGACUAUCAGGAUUGUAUCUCAGACUGAGGCAUGAAAGCGUGGAGAGCAAGGAG